RNAcentral lists this ribosomal RNA (706 nucleotides) under Corynebacterium fastidiosum. RNAcentral's name for it is "bacterial SSU rRNA". It matches the Rfam family "Bacterial small subunit ribosomal RNA", at positions 30 to 748 of the family's 1533-position model. Lineage: Bacteria; Bacillati; Actinomycetota; Actinomycetes; Mycobacteriales; Corynebacteriaceae. The record is from RNAcentral.
CGAACGCCGGCGGCGUGCUUAACACCUGCAAGUUGAACGGAAAGGCCCUGCUUGCAGGGUACUUGAGUGGCGAACGGGUGAGUAACACGUGGGUGAUUUGCCCUGCACUUCGGGAUAAGCUUGGGAAACUGGGUUUAAUACCGGAUAGGAGCCAUCUUUAGUGUGGUGGUUGGAAAGUUUUUUCGGUGUAGGAUGAGCUCGCGGCCUAUCAGCUUGUUGGUGGGGUAAUGGCCUACCAAGGCGGCGACGGGUAGCCGGCCUGAGAGGGUGUACGGCCACAUUGGGAAUGAGAUACGGCCCAGACUCCUACGGGAGGCAGCAGUGGGGAAUAUUGCACAAUGGGCGCAAGCCUGAUGCAGCGACGCCGCGUGGGGGAUGAAGGCCUUCGGGUUGUAAACUCCUUUCGCUAGGGACGAAGCUUUUUUGUGACGGUACCUAGAUAAGAAGCACCGGCUAACUACGUGCCAGCAGCCGCGGUAAUACGUAGGGUGCGAGCGUUGUCCGGAAUUACUGGGCGUAAAGGGCUCGUAGGUGGUUUGUCGCGUCGUCUGUGAAAUUCUGGGGCUUAACUCCGGGCGUGCAGGCGAUACGGGCAUAACUUGAGUGCUGUAGGGGUAACUGGAAUUCCUGGUGUAGCGGUGAAAUGCGCAGAUAUCAGGAGGAACACCGAUGGCGAAGGCAGGUUACUGGGCAGUUACUGACGCUG